CCCGACUGCAUGCUACCAGCUGACGAGAAGAGCGUCUUCUGGGGUAAAUAUUGUGCAGGCACUUAAUCGAAAUCUUCCAAAAUCAUGACACCGAGGAGAGUUAUAGCUGGUGUGCUCUUUGCCAUUAUCGCCCUGAGCCAACUUCGCCCCGGUGGCGGAGCAUGCCCUGGCACCGAAACGCAGUGCAAUGCCGGCUGCUGUCCCCUGAAGAAUGCAGUCUGUUGCUCGGACAAUCAGCACUGCUGCCUCACUGGCUACGUAUGUGACCCCCCUUACUGUAUCGGCGAAGCCGGCAGCUCACCCGUUCCGGCGGAAGACAUUGAAUAAGCUCAUAUUCGACGUGUGUUCCCUCGCCUUUCUCGGUCUGCGCUUUCCCGAUGUGAAUCCUUUGGAGGGACAUUUGUGGCCGUUAACACGCCUCGGCGAUCCUCAAGCCGCCUCGCUGAAUUUCAUCUAGUUUUCUGCAACUCUCAGCCUGCGUCUUUGUGUUUAAAUAAACAAAAAUAUUACAGAA
This 514-nucleotide long non-coding RNA is filed under the name Ixodes scapularis (black-legged tick). RNAcentral describes it as "uncharacterized LOC121834508". The record is from RNAcentral. Lineage: Eukaryota; Metazoa; Arthropoda; Arachnida; Ixodida; Ixodidae.